AUACGUAGGGUGCAAGCGUUAUCCGGAAUUAUUGGGCGUAAAGGGCUCGUAGGCGGUUCGUCGCGUCCGGUGUGAAAGUCCAUCGCUUAACGGUGGAUCCGCGCCGGGUACGGGCGGGCUUGAGUGCGGUAGGGGAGACUGGAAUUCCCGGUGUAACGGUGGAAUGUGUAGAUAUCGGGAAGAACACCAAUGGCGAAGGCAGGUCUCUGGGCCGUUACUGACGCUGAGGAGCGAAAGCGUGGGGAGCGAACAGGAUUAGAUACCCUGGUAGUCCACGCCGUAAACGGUGGAUGCUGGAUGUGGGGCCCGUUCCACGGGUUCCGUGUCGGAGCUAACGCGUUAAGCAUCCCGCCUGGGGAGUACGGCCGCAAGGCUAAAACUCAAAGAAAUUGACGGGGGCCCGCACAAGCGGCGGGGCAUGCGGAUUAAUUCGAUGCAACGCGAAGAACCUUACCUGGGCUUGACAUGUUCCCGACGGUCGUAGAGAUACGGCUUCCCUUCGGGGCGGGUUCACAGGUGGUGCAUGGUCGUCGUCAGCUCGUGUCGUGAGAUGUUGGGUUAAGUCCCGCAACGAGCGCAACCCUCGCCCCGUGUUGCCAGCGGAUUAUGCCGGGAACUCACGGGGGACCGCCGGGGUUAACUCGGAGGAAGGUGGGGAUGACGUCAGAUCAUCAUGCCCCUUACGUCCAGGGCUUCACGCAUGCUACAAUGGCCGGUACAACGGGAUGCGACGCGGCGACGCGGAGCGGAUCCCUGAAAACCGGUCUCAGUUCGGAUCGCAGUCUGCAACUCGACUGCGUGAAGGCGGAGUCGCUAGUAAUCGCGAAUCAGCAACGUCGCGGUGAAUGCGUUCCCGGGCCUUGUACACACCGCCCGUCAAGUCAUGAAGGUGGGCAGCACCCGAAGCCGGUGGCCUAACCCCUUGUGGGAUGGAGCCGUCUAAGGUGAGGCUCGUGAUUGGGACU
This 965-nucleotide ribosomal RNA is filed under the name uncultured bacterium. RNAcentral's name for it is "bacterial SSU rRNA". It matches the Rfam family "Bacterial small subunit ribosomal RNA", at positions 523 to 1482 of the family's 1533-position model. The record is from RNAcentral.